Long non-coding RNA from Amblyraja radiata (thorny skate), 173 nucleotides. RefSeq lists it as uncharacterized. NCBI's taxonomy places the organism in Eukaryota, Metazoa, Chordata, Chondrichthyes, Rajiformes, Rajidae. The record is from RefSeq and is a predicted model, not a curated record. The transcript is spliced from 3 exons.
ACUAUAAAACCCGGUUGUGUGGAGGUGCCUCAGUCCUCUGCAAGAUGUGGGAGCGAGAGCUCGCAAUUCUCAGUCUGAGCUGUGAAUAACACUGAACACAUGUCUACUAAAUUGUGAGUGGUUUUACUGACGUUUCAUUACCCUUAAUGUGGUUUGAAAAUGAAAAUAUGGUU